GAGAAGAACGUAGCGAAAUGCGAUAAGUAAUGUGAAUUGCAGAAUUCCGUGAAUCAUCGAAUCUUUGAACGCAUAUUGCGCCCUCUGGCAUUCCGGAGGGCAUGCCUGUCCGAGCGUCAUUACUAUCUUCAAGCACAGCUUGGUUGUUGAGCCAAAUUGUCCUCUAAUGGACAGGCUUGAAAUGCAGCGGCGAUGCCAUGUUUGGUGCCCGAGUGUAUGGGGCUUUGUCACACACUUUUGUGGCCCAGCUGGCGUUAGUCUUGACCGUUAAACUAAGAUUUGACCUCGGAUCAGGUAGGGAUACCCGCUGAACUUAAGCAUAUCAAUAAGCGGAGGA
Molecule: unclassified non-coding RNA, 337 nt
Filed under: soil metagenome
Description: partial contains 5.8S ribosomal RNA, internal transcribed spacer 2, and large subunit ribosomal RNA
Rfam family: 5.8S ribosomal RNA (bases 3-119)
Source: RNAcentral